Molecule: ribosomal RNA, 402 nt
Filed under: uncultured bacterium
Lineage: Bacteria
Description: bacterial SSU rRNA
Rfam family: Bacterial small subunit ribosomal RNA
Source: RNAcentral
UGGGGAAUAUUGGACAAUGGGCGCAAGCCUGAUCCAGCAAUGCCGCGUGUGUGAAGAAGGUCUUCGGAUUGUAAAGCACUUUCGACGGGGACGAUGAUGACGGUACCCGUAGAAGAAGCCCCGGCUAACUUCGUGCCAGCAGCCGCGGUAAUACGAAGGGGGCUAGCGUUGCUCGGAAUGACUGGGCGUAAAGGGCGCGUAGGCGGCAUAGACAGUCAGACGUGAAAUUCCUGGGCUUAACCUGGGGGCUGCGUUUGAUACGUCUGGGCUAGAGUGGGGAAGAGGGUCGUGGAAUUCCCAGUGUAGAGGUGAAAUUCGUAGAUAUUGGGAAGAACACCGGUGGCGAAGGCGGCGACCUGGUCCUUGACUGACGCUGAGGCGCGAAAGCGUGGGGAGCAAACA